GGGUGAUUGGCGCAGCUGGUUAGCGCAUCUCGUUUACACCGAGAGGGUCGGGGGUUCGAAUCCCUCAUCACCCA
Molecule: transfer RNA, 74 nt
Filed under: Bifidobacteriaceae bacterium
Lineage: Bacteria; Bacillati; Actinomycetota; Actinomycetes; Bifidobacteriales; Bifidobacteriaceae
Also listed under: 1 other name
Description: tRNA-Val
Rfam family: tRNA
About the family: Transfer RNA (tRNA) molecules are approximately 80 nucleotides in length. Their secondary structure includes four short double-helical elements and three loops (D, anti-codon, and T loops).
Source: RNAcentral